This 483-nucleotide ribosomal RNA is filed under the name uncultured bacterium. RNAcentral's name for it is "partial 16S ribosomal RNA". It matches the Rfam family "Bacterial small subunit ribosomal RNA", at positions 30 to 507 of the family's 1533-position model. The record is from RNAcentral.
UUGCACGCUGGCGGCAGGCCUCACCCCUGCAAGUCGAGCGGAUGAAGGGAGCUUGCUCCUGGAUUCAGCGGCGGACGGGUGAGUAAUGCCUAGGAAUCUGCCUGGUAGUGGGGGAUAACGUCCGGAAACGGGCGCUAAUACCGCAUACGUCCUGAGGGAGAAAGUGGGGGAUCUUCGGACCUCACGCUAUCAGAUGAGCCUAGGUCGGAUUAGCUAGUUGGUGGGGUAAAGGCCUACCAAGGCGACGAUCCGUAACUGGUCUGAGAGGAUGAUCAGUCACACUGGAACUGAGACACGGUCCAGACUCCUACGGGAGGCAGCAGUGGGGAAUAUUGGACAAUGGGCGAAAGCCUGAUCCAGCCAUGCCGCGUGUGUGAAGAAGGUCUUCGGAUUGUAAAGCACUUUAAGUUGGGAGGAAGGGCAGUAAGUUAAUACCUUGCUGUUUUGACGUUACCAACAGAAUAAGCACCGGCUAACUUCGUG